Molecule: ribosomal RNA, 253 nt
Filed under: uncultured bacterium
Lineage: Bacteria
Description: partial 16S ribosomal RNA
Rfam family: Bacterial small subunit ribosomal RNA
Source: RNAcentral
UACGUAGGGGGCAAGCGUUGUCCGGAAUCAUUGGGCGUAAAGCGCGUGUAGGCGGUCCGGUAAGUCAGCUGUGAAAGUCGGGGGCUUAACCCUCGGAUGCCGGUGGAUACUGUCGGGCUUGAGUACGGAAGAGGCGAGUGGAAUUCCUGGUGUAGCGGUGAAAUGCGCAGAUAUCAGGAGGAACACCAAUUGCGAAGGCAGCUCGCUGGGACGUUACUGACGCUGAGACGCGAAAGCGUGGGGAGCAAACAGG